GCACUGCUGAAAAGUCCUAAAAUAGGACGAAACGGCUGUCCAGUGC
Molecule: non-coding RNA, 46 nt
Organism: Schistosoma haematobium
Lineage: Eukaryota; Metazoa; Platyhelminthes; Trematoda; Strigeidida; Schistosomatidae
Source: Rfam